This 27-nucleotide non-coding RNA is filed under the name Homo sapiens (human). The record is from RNAcentral. Lineage: Eukaryota; Metazoa; Chordata; Mammalia; Primates; Hominidae.
CUAGGAAAUGGUCCGAAGUUAACGAGA